AUACGGAGGGCGCAAGCGUUGUUCGGAAUUAUUGGGCGUAAAGCGCGCGUAGGCGGCUCUGUAAGUCGGGUGUGAAAGCCCCGGGCUCAACCCGGGAAUUGCAUUCGAUACUGCAGGGCUAGAGUAUGGUAGAGGGAAGUGGAAUUUCCGGUGUAGCGGUGAAAUGCGUAGAUAUCGGAAGGAACACCAGUGGCGAAGGCGACUUCCUGGGCCAAUACUGACGCUGAGGUGCGAAAGCGUGGGGAGCAAACAGGAUUAGAAACCCGGGUAGUCC
Molecule: ribosomal RNA, 274 nt
Filed under: uncultured bacterium
Lineage: Bacteria
Description: partial 16S ribosomal RNA
Rfam family: Bacterial small subunit ribosomal RNA
Source: RNAcentral